Molecule: long non-coding RNA, 540 nt
Organism: Suricata suricatta (meerkat)
Lineage: Eukaryota; Metazoa; Chordata; Mammalia; Carnivora; Herpestidae
Exons: 3
Source: RefSeq, a predicted model, not a curated record
GUAUCAAAACGGAUAAGGGACAUUUGGGUAAUUAUGAAUUCUUCAGCAUGAUUUUUCCAGAAGCCUUGCCAUAAAAUGAAAAUUGUUUGGACAUUUUCAGCUGUGAAGAAUUUGCUUGGGUCUUAAUUUUCAUGAACCUCCAAAGUGCCGGGAAACAGGAAUUCACCUACCUUGUUGUAACUGCAGCCCAUACAUACCUUCAACUUCUCCUUUUGCUCCUCCUGUAGAAUCAUCUCCAGGUUCCCCAAAGACGGCAAUGCUGCUGACCAUUGGUUCACAUUUUGAAUAGUAAGGUUCAAGGACACUUCAUCCAACCAAGAUAUAUGUUCCAGGGAUAAAGUGUCUAGUCCGGCUCUGUCCAGCAGCAAAUCCAUGAAUAAUGGCUCUGAUGGCAUCAGUAGGUUGAAAUAGUCAUAAAUAUUUAUGAAUGCUAACUAUCAGCAAUAGUAAUAUAAGUAGGAAUUGGUAGAUCCUGAGUCCUAUAAAGGAGGAAAAACAACUCAUUGUGAAGAAUAAAUUGAGGGGUAUCUGGGUGGCUCA